RNAcentral lists this ribosomal RNA (253 nucleotides) under uncultured bacterium. RNAcentral's name for it is "partial 16S ribosomal RNA". It matches the Rfam family "Bacterial small subunit ribosomal RNA", at positions 524 to 776 of the family's 1533-position model. The record is from RNAcentral.
UACGUAGGGUGAGAGCGUUGUCCGGAAUUAUUGGGCGUAAAGGGCUCGUAGGCGGUUUGUCGCGUCGGGAGUGAAAACACCGGGCUUAACUCGGUGCUUGCUUUCGAUACGGGCAGACUAGAGGCAUGCAGGGGAGAACGGAAUUCCUGGUGUAGCGGUGAAAUGCGCAGAUAUCAGGAGGAACACCGGUGGCGAAGGCGGUUCUCUGGGCAUGUCCUGACGCUGAGGUGCGAAAGCGUGGGGAGCAAACAGG